GAUGAACGCUGGCGGUAUGCUUAACACAUGCAAGUCGAACGGACUCUUCGGAGUUAGUGGCGGACGGGUGAGUAACGCGUGAGAAUCUGGCUUUGGGUUCGGGACAACCACUGGAAACGGUGGCUAAUACCGGAUGUGCCGAGAGGUAAAAGAGAAAUUGCCUGAAGAUGAGCUCGCGUCUGAUUAGCUAGUUGGUGAGGUAAAGGCUCACCAAGGCAGCGAUCAGUAGCUGGUCUGAGAGGAUGACCAGCCACACUGGGACUGAGACACGGCCCAGACUCCUACGGGAGGCAGCAGUGGGGAAUUUUCCGAAAUGGGCGAAAGCCUGACGGAGAACUACCGCGUGAGGGAAGAAGGCUCUUGGGUUGUAAACCUCUUUUCUUAGGGAAGAACAAAAUGACGGUACCUAAGGAAUCAGCAUCGGCUAACUCCGUG
RNAcentral lists this ribosomal RNA (435 nucleotides) under uncultured bacterium. RNAcentral's name for it is "partial 16S ribosomal RNA". It matches the Rfam family "Bacterial small subunit ribosomal RNA", at positions 28 to 507 of the family's 1533-position model. The record is from RNAcentral.